GAAAUUGCAAUUGAUGCAAUCAGUAUUAAAUCAGGUAUAUGUUCUUUGAAAACACCAAAGCCAACAUUACAAUUGACCCAAACACCGACAAAACCUUCUCUGGUACAAACAGCAAACUGCAGUUUUGAUAAUGGAAAUAUCUGCAACUUUCGUUAUGGAGCGAGAAAUUUAAUUGGACAGUUUACAGAGGUUCUACACCUAGUUGGAAUACAGGUCCCAGCAAUGACACAAGUGGAACUGGUUACUAUCUCUACAUUGAAACAUCAAGUCCACGUCAAUACGGAGAUAAAGCAACUAUUUUAACACCAUACUUAAGUGGUGAACAAUGUGUGAAGUU
Molecule: long non-coding RNA, 337 nt
Organism: Xenia sp. Carnegie-2017
Lineage: Eukaryota; Metazoa; Cnidaria; Anthozoa; Malacalcyonacea; Xeniidae
Exons: 3
Source: RefSeq, a predicted model, not a curated record